Molecule: long non-coding RNA, 2129 nt
Organism: Solenopsis invicta (red fire ant)
Lineage: Eukaryota; Metazoa; Arthropoda; Insecta; Hymenoptera; Formicidae
Exons: 2
Source: RefSeq, a predicted model, not a curated record
AGUAAUAAAUGUAACUAAUAAUAAAUAAUUCUUUAAAUUAUUAUUACUUGAACAGAAAAAAAGGAAAGUGUUUGAGAUAUGAGGUUCACAUCUCAUAAAAUUUAACUUACCUGUAAAAUAACACAUUUUUAGAUUUUGUUAAAGCUGCUCCUGCAGAAUUGUAUUUCAUGUUUUUAUUAUUGCACAUUUCCGCAGAACAACAACGAACCAUUUUUAUAUUUUAUAUUUUUGUUCGUACAACAUAAAUAGGACAAAUAAUAAUAAUCUCAACACGCGUCCUGGUUGUACCUUUGACUAUAAAGUCUCAAAGAGUCAAAGGAUUGUACCGAUUAUUACUUGAAAUGUAGCUAGGUAAUUCUCAAUUUGACCAAUUUCCGGACCCGGAGGCGCUGAGAUCUUAGAUUCCACUAGAGUCCUAUAUAAAGAGAGAAGCGACAUCGAACCCCCACCACAACCUUCAGUAUCCAAUUGAGUCCUCUACCACCAUUUUGGGACCGCUCUAAUGUCAUCAAACACCAUUCGUAUCAUUCUACAAACAGCUGUGGUCACAAUAUGGCUGCUCGCUUAGCCAAUCAAGUAUCAAUCAGAUUACCAAUCAGAGCUUCGGACAUCAAUGUCGCUUCUCUCUUUAUAUAGGACUCUAGAUUCCACUAAUGGCUGCCGUUAGCAGUCCAGAUAGUCAAAGGGUUGAAGUUGAAGCAGCAAAUCGCGCACGGGGGACGCCUAGCGAUGCUGACAGCCUAUCGCGAUAAUUCGUAAAUUCCCUACAUAAUUUCCGGGUUUGCAAAUCCCCUAUUGUUCCUCUUGGAUUCCCUACCAUUUCUUCUACGAGAGAGGAGCAAGUAAAAAUUGGAGCAAGUGCAAAUUGGAGUUUGCUAGAUUAGACUUCAAAUCGUUAUACAGUCUAUCCUCGUGGAGAGCGAUUGGCGACGUCUCCUGGAAAAAUCCCAGACGUCAGUGUACGUCAAAUACGGAUGAUUAAAAGUGGACCCGUUGGAUAUAUACACACGGGGACCGAAUGACGACAGCCCAUUUUGACCAAAGUAAUUUAUUUGUUUCAUUAAAAACUUAGACGUUGGAAUGCGACUUCUACACGUGUGACGGGUAUAAUAUGUAAAACUAAACGCUACGAUAUUUAUAUUUUAUAACUAUAUGCUUAUUUCUUUUAUGAUUCCUCACGGGUCAACGCAAAUAUAUAUCGUGUAUAUGAGAUAAUAGAAUAAUAGCAGUUUUUAUAUAUACGUAUACAUAUAUGUACACGUAUAUAUAAUGCUCGAUAGCGAUAAUUAAACCUCCAAUGCGCUAACUACCGCGUACUGUCGUCCUCCUCUUCCUCCUCCUCCUCCCUCUACAUUGAUUUUCCUUUUACGAGCGAACAUUCGAUCGUCGAGUCGGGAGACGAUACGCACGCAAGAUACAAAGAGCGAGAAACAAACGGAGAGAGAAAAACGCUACUUGUAAGUUAUGCUCACUUUCUACAGAUUUUUUUUUCCAAGUUUGUAAAUCUACAUCCGUGGCCAAUCCGAUUAUUAGUUGGCAUAAUUCUGAAAUUGGAUGAGAAUGCUCAAGAGAAUCGCGAUUCGUAGCAAUCAAUUUCUGCAGUCUUCGACACAGCUACUCCUUCACUCCUCUUUUUCUCAAUAUCAAACGCGAUUGGCAUCUCUCUCGCCAUCGUCCGUUGCACGUCGCUUCUCGCGUCCUGUUCCAACGUUUCGUUUACGUCCCGGCCCGUCGUCGCAUCGCUCCGUACAUACCGAGUGUCUAGAGGUAUAUUUACAGAAAUGUACAAAGCGAUUACAAUUCCCGUUUGAGCGGGAUGCAUUUCGGUGCAUGUUGCGAAAAGUCGCCGCCUCUCGUUCUCCUGUUCCCCCAGGGUCCCCACUGCGCCGCAGGGGGAGUCAUAUUUUUUUUUUUUACAUAAUAUCUUUAUAUGCAGGUCUACGUCUCUUUUUAUCUUUCCUUUUUACACAACGCCGUGCGACCAACAGCGACUCUGAGGGAUCGGUCCUUCGUACCAGCGAGGCGAUUAUCGAAACUGAAAGUACUUUCGAGCUAGGGGUGAGUUGCGGGGAUCGGCGAUCUGCAGCAGAUUAGAGAGGACGAGAAAGAGAGAUUAUCAUAAAGUGGGA